GGUGGGAAGAGUGGAAGCAGAGGUGGAAGUUGCUGAUUUGAUGCACAGAUCAAAAGGAGUCAAAUAUAUUGGGCGAGAUCCAAUAUUAAUUUAUAAAUGGGAGGAAGGGUUGUGAGAAUUUAAAUAAGGAAGAAAAGAGCGAAAAAAAGAGAGAAGAGAAAAUGUGUGGGAUAUUUGCGUAUCUGAAUUACAACGUGCAGAGAGAGAGAAGUUACAUCUUGCAGGUGCUCUUCAAUGGCCUCAGAAGAUUGGAAUAUCGCGGUUACGAUUCCGCCGGAGUCGCCAUCGACGAUUCUUCUUCUCACCAAUGCUCUUCCAAUUGCAAUUCCACUCCAUCUCCUCCUCUCGUUUUUCGCCGAGAGGGAAACAUCGAAUCUCUCGUCAAAUCCGUUUAUCAAGAAGUUGGAGAAACAGAACUGAACUUGGAGGAAUGCUUUUGCACGCACGCUGGAAUUGCGCACACUCGUUGGGCGACUCAUGGAGAACCUGCUCCGAGGAACAGCCAUCCACAGACGUCUGGUCCAGGAAACGAGUUCUUGGUUGUUCACAAUGGAGUUAUCACUAAUUAUGAGGUUUUGAAGGAGACGCUGGUACGACAUGGCUUUACCUUUGAAUCUGAAACUGACACUGAAGUCAUUCCCAAGCUUGCGAAGUAUGUUUACGACAAAGCGAAUGAGGCAGAUGGUGAUCAGGCUGUUACCUUUAGUCAAGUUGUUCUGGAAGUUAUGAGGCAUCUUGAAGGAGCCUAUGCUCUUAUUUUCAAAAGUCCACAUUAUCCUAAUGAGUUGAUUGCUUGUAAGCGUGGCAGCCCACUGCUGUUAGGUGUUAAAGAAUUGACAGAAAAUAAGGACAAUGGUUCAGCAUUUGAGGAUAGCAAAUUCCUGUCAAAAGAUGGACAGCCCAAAGAACUCUUUUUGUCCAGUGAUGCCAAUGCAGUGGUUGAGCACACAAAGAAAGUGCUGGUUAUUGAGGAUGGUGAAGUAGUUCAUCUCAAGGAUGGUGGGGUUUCUAUUUUGAAGUUUGAGAAUGACAAGGUAGAACGCAGUGCUUCUCUUUCCAGAACUUCUUCAGUGUGCCGUGCAUUAUCUGUUCUUGAGAUGGAGGUUGAGCAAAUCAAUAAAGGUCAUUAUGAGCAUUAUAUGCAGAAGGAAAUUCAUGAGCAACCAGAAUCUCUAACAACCACAAUGAGGGGGAGGCUUAUACAACGAGGAUCUAAUAAAUCCAAGUCUGUUCUAUUGGGCGGACUGAAGGAUCACCUUAAAACAAUUAGGCGAAGUAGAAGGAUAGUUUUCAUUGGUUGUGGUACAAGUUAUAAUGCUGCUUUGGCAGCUAGGCCCAUCUUGGAAGAACUUUCUGGUAUUCCUGUUACUAUGGAAAUUGCCAGUGAUUUAUUGGAUCGGGAGGGACUAAUAUAUCGAGAAGAUACAGCUGUUUUUGUUAGUCAAUCUGGUGAAACUGCAGAUACUUUACUUGCACUGCAAUAUGCUUUAGACAAUGGUGCAUUAUGUGUUGGAAUAACAAACACUGUUGGUAGUGCAAUAGCAAGGAAUACACAUUGUGGUGUUCAUAUAAAUGCUGGUGCUGAGAUUGGUGUGGCAAGUACCAAGGCAUACACCAGUCAAAUAGUAGUGAUGGUCAUGUUAGCUCUUGCAAUAGGUGGCGACACAAUUUCCAAUCAAGCCAGAAGAGAAGCUAUUAUAGAUGGUCUUUUUGACCUGCCAAAUAAAGUUAGAGAGGUGUUGAAGCUUGAUCUGGAGAUGAAGGAUCUAGCAAAAUUGUUGAUUGCUGAGCAGUCUCUUCUUGUCUUUGGGAGAGGAUACAACUAUGCAACUGCUCUUGAGGGAGCUUUGAAAGUAAAGGAAGUGGCACUUAUGCAUAGUGAAGGGAUACUUGCUGGUGAAAUGAAGCAUGGUCCUUUGGCAUUAGUGGAUGAAAAUCUUCCGAUUUUUGUUGUAGCUACACGUGAUACUGGCUUCAGCAAACAACAGUCUGUUAUUCAGCAACUUCAUGCCCGCAAAGGUCGCUUGAUAGUUAUGUGUUCUAAAGGGGAUGCUGCUUCUGUAUGCCCCAAUGAAUAUUGUAGGGUAAUUGAAGUUCCACAGGUUGAAGACUGUCUUCAACCUGUGAUUAAUGUGGUUCCGUUACAGUUAUUGGCAUAUCAUCUCACUGUACUCAGGGGAUUUAAUGUCGAUCAGCCACGUAAUCUUGCCAAGAGUGUCACCACGCAAUAAAGAAGUUUGUUGACUUUUUACACCCCGCACCACGCAAGAAAAAGUUUGUUGACUGCCCUUUAUUUCUUUGAAUCUGACAAAAAAUAAUAUCAAGGCCAUCGAAAAGCUUCCCUUGCUCUGAGACAUGACAUGGCAUAUUACCGCAAUGUAAAUUAAUAGGUGUAGGCUUACUGGUGGAUCUACAACCCACCUUCUUACCAGUCAGAAUAGACAACCAUCAUUUCCUGAGGGAAUAAAAAGCCUAAACAACGAGACAAAAACACAAGCUAAUGUGGGGGGAGAAAAAAGAAAAGCAGGAACAGCAUCCUUACAUCGAUCCCCAACUUGGUUGGAUUUUAAAAUAUUUUAGUCUUGUCUUAUUUUUUUAAUAUUCGUACUUUACUUUUAUCAUCUCAUAGGUGAGUGACGCUAAUGUUCCCAAGCAUUAUUCCAAAAUUGAGAUGAAGGUUAAGUUCAGUAUUAAUAGUACUUCACAUUUCACCUAAUUAUGACCACUUCUUCCUUAUUGAGAAUAAGGAAUCAUUUUAUCACCCGUAUAAUAAAAACUUGAAAGCAAUGAUAUUCCCCACUAAAAUCCUGAACAAUAAGAAACCAAAAGAAUAAGAUAAAAUUACUGAACAUAAUUUGGAUUAAAUGCUCCCCCACCCUUAUAAAAUAAAAAGAAAAAACAAAAGACUUAAAAUGAUUCAGUCACAUUAACUUGUUUGAAAGUUGAAACAAAAAAAGUUCACUAGAACACAGUGCAAUCAUGUGAAAG
RNA transcript from Abrus precatorius (Indian licorice), 2988 nucleotides. It is a transcript of the gene named glutamine--fructose-6-phosphate aminotransferase [isomerizing] 2, with no coding region annotated. The record is from RefSeq and is a predicted model, not a curated record. NCBI's taxonomy places the organism in Eukaryota, Viridiplantae, Streptophyta, Magnoliopsida, Fabales, Fabaceae. The transcript has 12 exons.